UACGUAGGGGGCAAGCGUUGUCCGGAUUUAUUGGGCGUAAAGAGCGUGUAGGCGGCUUUACAGGUCCGUUGUGAAAACUCGAGGCUCAACCUCGAGACGCCGGUGGAAACCGUAAAGCUAGAGUCCGGAAGAGGAGAGUGGAAUUCCUGGUGUAGCGGUGAAAUGCGCAGAUAUCAGGAGGAACACCAAUGGCGAAGGCAGCACUCUGGGACGUGACUGACGCUGAGACGCGAAAGCGUGGGGAGCAAACAGG
This 253-nucleotide ribosomal RNA is filed under the name uncultured bacterium. RNAcentral describes it as "partial 16S ribosomal RNA". It matches the Rfam family "Bacterial small subunit ribosomal RNA", at positions 524 to 776 of the family's 1533-position model. The record is from RNAcentral.